Molecule: transfer RNA, 65 nt
Filed under: Episymploce torchaceus
Lineage: Eukaryota; Metazoa; Arthropoda; Insecta; Blattodea; Blattellidae
Description: tRNA-Phe
Source: RNAcentral
ACUUAAAUAGCUUAUAAAGAGCAUAGUAUUGAAGAUACUAAGGAGAUUAAAUUAAUCUUUAGGUA